AUGCCGGAUGAGGAGCUGGAGCAGGCUGGGCCUUGCCAGCGAGGCAGAAAGGCGCUGGCGAGCGGGCGGUCAACGCGGCUGCGUUUAUGGUCGUCUCGCUCGACCACGGGCGAAGCAGAGGACUUGGAAGCGGCGGGGCUGCAUCCUCCGGCGACAGGGAUGGCGCGGAGGCAGCGGAGGCGAGCAGAUCCUUGCGGCGGCGACCAUGGACGGCCGGUGGCCAUGGCUUCGGUUCCCUGUGGAGAGAAGCGAGAGAGAAGAGAGAUCCUGAGAGAGAGCGUUGCCGGUGAUCUAGAAGAAAACAGAGGGGAGGCUGGAGAGGAAGGGCACGGUCCUGCUGGUCCGGUGCUGCUCCGAUCCGGCAGAGGCGAGGCGGAGCAGAUUCGGGAGGAGGCUGUGGAGGUCGCGGCUUGCGGCGGGGGCUGCUGA
RNAcentral lists this ribosomal RNA (429 nucleotides) under Triticum aestivum (bread wheat). RNAcentral describes it as "partial small subunit ribosomal RNA". Lineage: Eukaryota; Viridiplantae; Streptophyta; Magnoliopsida; Poales; Poaceae. The record is from RNAcentral.